AUUAUAUGUAAAAAAACCCUCAAAUUCGUCUUAAAGGGAGGCAAACGACAAAGGGAAGCUCUUUCAAAAGCUGAGACCUUAACAGCAGGCAAGUUGCAGACUGCUGCUGAGACUAAAGAUGACCACAGUAUUCUGGUACACAUUAAGGACAAAGACUGUGUGGCUCUGGAGGUGCAGUACCACAAGAGCUGCUACCAGCAGUACACCAGAUUUCUGAAUGAGCCUGCUAGACAAGAGAAGGACAAGUCAUUGCCUGGAUGCUGACCCCUGCCUUUUUGCACCGUGCCACAGGACUUUUAUAUAUUUUUAUAUAUAUUUUUUUGUGUAUAUA
Molecule: long non-coding RNA, 331 nt
Organism: Neoarius graeffei (lesser salmon catfish)
Lineage: Eukaryota; Metazoa; Chordata; Actinopteri; Siluriformes; Ariidae
Exons: 3
Source: RefSeq, a predicted model, not a curated record